This 468-nucleotide ribosomal RNA is filed under the name uncultured bacterium. RNAcentral's name for it is "partial 16S ribosomal RNA". It matches the Rfam family "Bacterial small subunit ribosomal RNA", at positions 28 to 507 of the family's 1533-position model. The record is from RNAcentral.
GACGAACGCUGGCGGCGUGCUUAACACAUGCAAGUCGAACGGUGAAAGAAGAGCUUGCUCUUCUGGAUCAGUGGCGAACGGGUGAGUAACACGUGAGUAACCUGCCCCAGACUCUGGAAUAAGCGCUGGGGACGGCGUCUAAUACCGGAUACGAGACAUAGCUGCAUGGCGACUAUCUGGAAAGGUUUUCGGUCUGGUAUGGACUCGCGGCCUAUCAGCUUGUUGGUGAGGUAACGGCUCACCAAGGCAACGACGGGUAGCCGGCCUGAGAGGGCGACCGGCCACACUGGGCCUGAGACACGGCGCAGACUCCUACGGGAGGCAGCAGUGGGGAAUCUUGCACAAUGGGCGAAAGCCUGAUGCAGAGACGCCGCGUGCGGGAUGACGGCCUUCGGGUUGUAAACCUCUUUCAGCAGGGAAGAAGCGAAAGUGACGGUACCUGCAGAAGAAGCCCCGGCUAACUACGUG